Molecule: unclassified non-coding RNA, 178 nt
Filed under: fungal sp.
Lineage: Eukaryota; Fungi
Also listed under: 1 other name
Description: partial internal transcribed spacer region
Rfam family: Eukaryotic small subunit ribosomal RNA (bases 1-46)
Source: RNAcentral
AAGUCGUAACAAGGUUUCCGUAGGUGAACCUGCGGAAGGAUCAUUAAAAAUUUAUAUCCGGGAAUUCGUUUCGUUUUCCCGUGAUUAUUUGUAUUCAAAUCCCACUCUUUAUAAAUAUAUUAAUUAUAUAAAACAAAAAUAAAAAAGAAAACUUUCAACAACGGAUCUCUUGGCUCUC